GGGGGGUAUACCUAGAAUGUAAUCUCAGAGAACGCUGGCUGUGCACAAAGAUGUCCUGUGUCACGCAGGACUGAGAGGAAUUACUGAACAUGGAGAAGCAAAUGGUUGAGGUUUGUCUUACAGUAGCCAAUCAACCAAGUCUGAAAACAAAAUUAUCUCCCUAGUUGCUAGAAUUUUUUUAGCCAUUAAUCUGUUAUUCAGCUGAUUAUUGUGCACCAUACAAACACUUGAAACUCACUGCUGCAUUAAUUGCCCUUGUUCAGGAAAGGCCAUCAUUAGCUGCCUAGGGAAUGGCUCUCAAGUUCAUGUAACAACGUACAGUUAGAGCAGGAUACUGACAGUUCAUGGCCUGCUAGGCAAAAUGCCAGCUCACGGAAGCAGCUGAUCAUGCAAAGUUAAGUCAGAAUCUAAAUUUCUUCCUCUACUAAGGCCUUUCCCAUGUGAAACAGGGGACACCUGAGCAGCCACUGUCCUCCCUGCUUUGAAGGAACUGCCACUGGAAAUUCCUUAGCUCUCUGAGGAAUAUGGUUUGUGGCCUUGCAGAUCAUGACGUCAGUGCAAUAGGACAAUCAAAGCAGACCUGUUUCCAAAUCCUCCUGAUCACAAGCAGUGAGGCUAAUAAAGAAGAUCAUCAGCUGAGUAGGCAGAAGCAAAUAAGUUUCUCAUCAUUUCCUGUCAUCACCUGUGAUUUCUGAACCUCAGGAGCUUCAGAAAUUUGUUAUUAAUCUGGAGGAGAACAGGACAAUAGACCCAGAUGCUUGGGACAACACACCAGCUCUAUGUCCUUCCCCUGCAUCCUUGGCCAGUGAGGGUCCAUACAUGGACAAAGGUCUCCAAGGAGUGGCAAGGCAAAGACGUGGCCCAGGCCUUUAAAAAUCACCCAGGAUACUCCAUGCCUGCAGACCUAACCCAUCCUUCCCUUGGGAAAGUUCUAGACAGACCCUGGCAAGAAUUAACCUCUACAAAAGCCAGAACUCCCUUGACUCCAGCUUUUGAAGAUGAACUGUGCCCCUUCAUGGAAAGAGCUCCCUGGAAUGUACCACUGGAAACAAAUUCAGGAACCCUUGCCAUAUUUCUUACAUUUGAAUCCUGCUGGGUGCUUGUCCUUUCUGGUAUUUAGUGACAAUAAACUCCAUAUGCUAAUGGGGUAAUGGAGGACU
This 1160-nucleotide long non-coding RNA is filed under the name Anas platyrhynchos platyrhynchos (common mallard). RNAcentral describes it as "lncRNA (ENSAPLG00000022607.1)". Lineage: Eukaryota; Metazoa; Chordata; Aves; Anseriformes; Anatidae. The record is from RNAcentral.